Molecule: long non-coding RNA, 243 nt
Filed under: Phoenix dactylifera (date palm)
Lineage: Eukaryota; Viridiplantae; Streptophyta; Magnoliopsida; Arecales; Arecaceae
Description: long non-coding RNA (PDAC_LNC005963)
Source: RNAcentral
CUUCCUUUCGGCUGGCCUGGUCUCAGUUUUGACCAAGGCGUUACUCGCUUAUCCCUGCUGGGCUUUAGUCGUACCGCCAUGAAUGCGCGUCAUCAUGCACGGGUGACUCGAAUCUUCGUCCAUAUCCUUCCCUUCUUUAAUCUCGGCCGUCCACUAGAUAAACCAAACCUUGCUCCCGUACGUGUGCGCACGGGGCGUACGUACGAAUCCAUGGCCGAUCUGGCCAAUUAAACAAUGGCUGAC